CCUACGGGUGGCAGCAGUGGGGAAUAUUGCUCAAUGGGGGGAACCCUGAUGCAGCGACGCCGCGUGAGUGACGAAGUAUUUCGGUAUGUAAAGCUCUAUCAGCAGGGAAGAAGAUGACGGUACCUGACUAAGAAGACCCGGCUAACUACGUGCCAGAAGCCGCGGGAAUGCGUAGGGGGCAAGGGUUAUCCGGAUUUACUGGGUGUAAAGGGAGCGUAGACGGCAGGGCAAGUCUGGAGGUAAAGCCCGGGGCCCAACCCCGGGACAGCUUUGGAAACUGCCAGGCUGGAGUGCUGGAGAGGUACGCGGAAGUCCUAGUGUAGCGGUGAAAUGCGUAGAUAUUACGAGGAACACCGGUGGCGAAGGCGGCAUACUGGACAGUAUCUGACGUUGAGGCUCGAAAGCGUGGGUAGCGAACAGGAUUAGAUACCCGAGUAGUC
RNAcentral lists this ribosomal RNA (440 nucleotides) under uncultured bacterium. Its description in RNAcentral is "partial 16S ribosomal RNA". It matches the Rfam family "Bacterial small subunit ribosomal RNA", at positions 338 to 795 of the family's 1533-position model. The record is from RNAcentral.